GUCCAACUGAUGAGUCCAAAUAACGACGAAACACGUGUCUUGGGC
Molecule: non-coding RNA, 45 nt
Filed under: Diaphorina citri (Asian citrus psyllid)
Lineage: Eukaryota; Metazoa; Arthropoda; Insecta; Hemiptera; Psyllidae
Source: RNAcentral